UGCAGCUUCGGUGAAAGCAAAACACGACUUAUUCAGAAGCGCUUCUUCGGAGAAGCACUUUUCUCACGCGCAUUGGCUCAAGCUUUCUCGGUUUCUCUUGUGCGACACUCUCUCAAACUCAUGCUCUCUCCCUCUCAAUUCUUACACAACAACAACAAUUACGAUGCAGAUUCUCUUGGUCUCGAAUUGGUUGGAUUUGGAUUUCGGAACUGAUUCGAAUUGUUAUCGACUUAGGAUUCGAUUCGUGUUGGGGUUCAGAAUCUGUUUGCGCUCGAAAAUUCAACUCAGAGCAGUUUGAGUUAAAGUUACAACAAGCAUAUGAUAUCAUAAAGCUGAGAAUGGAGGAAUGUUUACCGGUUGAAGCGAUGAGGAGAAGAAAAUGCAGCUUUCAAUCUUGCUCACAAGGAUGAGUUCAUCUGAGGAUAAGCCAAUAAACACAAGAGACUUCUGUCAUGUGUACAUUAGAAGAAGAAGAAGAAAUAUAACUGGUGCUUCUGGAAAAGUAGUACGAGAUUUGGAUCUAAACGCUCCCCCACCUGCAGAACCAGCUUCUAUGCCUAAAACUGAUGGGACAUUUGAAAUCGGAGAU
Long non-coding RNA from Vicia villosa (hairy vetch), 589 nucleotides. RefSeq lists it as uncharacterized. Lineage: Eukaryota; Viridiplantae; Streptophyta; Magnoliopsida; Fabales; Fabaceae. The transcript is spliced from 3 exons. The record is from RefSeq and is a predicted model, not a curated record.